ACGCAGUCUCGUACACGCCCAACGAGCGCACACACCCGCACUCCAUGCACGCGCGAUGGGCGCACACACUCGCAUCCCUACACGUGCACACACCCGCGCUCCAAUUACCGCGCUAGCGCGCAAAAGAGCCGCAACUUCCGAGUGGGACUCGGCAUGCGGGGGCAGUGCCCGGUACUUCACCAUCAGUCACCUUCGCGUCCGCCUCCUCCCCUGCUGGUUGCACCUCCAGCCGCAGAGAUUUCCGGCUGGGGCACCAGAACUGUCCAGGCCGAAAGAGCUGCUCCUCCGUCACAAAGCGCAGUUGCACACUGUACUGCAGGCGCGCGGGGACCCGGGCCGGAGCCGGGGUCGCAGCCAUGGUCCAAGCGCCUCUGCUCCUGAGCCCUAGCAGUGCCUCCCCCGCGCUGCUCUGGGCACCGAGAAACUGCUGGGGCAAGGGGGAGGGAUUUGGAAGCGCGCACCACCUUCCCCAGCUCCCGUUGCAAGUUCAGUCUUCGACCUCCGAGACGCCCGGUGACUUCUGCUGGCACCUGCUGCCCUCGGCAUCACCUCCCUCAUCCCCCUGGAGGGCACGCUGGAAAGCUGCAACUCCCCACCCUCCGCACAGGAGCGCCCCGUAGACGCGCAGAUGGGCCCAGCCACCCAGCGGGGCGGCAGCCCUGAGCACACAAGUUUGGAGAGCGCGCGAGGCACCUGAAAGUGGUUGGGGUUUGGAAGCAAAAGGGUGACACCUGCUGUUCGCUGGGACCGCUCUGCGGGUGUGGGCGUCGGUUUGGAAACGUCCUUUGCCUGAGCUCUGCUUGGUAUAAAUCAAUGCAUCUUGGUUCCAUUCUUCAUCAUUUGCUGGUAGCUAAAUUAUGGUAAAUUCAGCUAAGGACAUUUUAAAAUCCUGUUUAAUUUGUCCACAUGCUAAAUAUCCCAGCACACAAGAGAAAAAGCAGCAUGUACUUGGAUAAGACAAACCUAGGGCUUCCUUCGAGUUAAGGAACAGUCUUGGAAGUCUUGUUAUAGUUAAUGGUUUUUUGAGUGGAUGAGCAAAUGAAUGAAUAUACAAAUGGUUAUGCACACAAUUAAGCAAACUACUUGAUCACAUUCCUCCUUUUGGUUUUGCUUCCUCUACCUGUCAGUUGUCCUGAACACCUGCGGAGGUAUUUUGUGCAGGAUGGUUUACCACAUUGGCCUUGGGAGUUGAGGAAGCACCAGCUUAGGUUCUGCCACGUGCUCUUUCCUGACAGCGAGUGCUGCUGGCUGCUGACGCCUAGAAUCUCAGCACGGGAGCUGCCUUUGUCACAGACCUUGGUUCCCCAUUCAAUCGAGCACCUGUGCAGUUGCCCUGUGGUCUAGCAUCCCAGGCUCAGCAGUGACAGCUCCUGAUGGGCUUUCACCUGACUUUCUAAAUCAGUGCUGUUCUAAAUCUGUGCUAAAUCUGGUGACCAGCCAGAGCCUGGUCACCCCUGCAUGGAGUAGGAGUGAAGCUUAUGAAAAGGUGAGGUGCCAAACACACAGAGGAGAACACGGAGGAGGCCAUAUUGUAAUAAAGAGAAAGCAAGCAGUCAGAAGUCACCCCAUAAAACACCUUCCACCCUCUGAGCAUGACCAGCAAAGCGGUUUCUUCUUGCGGACACUGCAUCAGCCCAGCUCAAAGUGCAUUCCAUUCUGAUGAACAUCCACAAACAGUUAUGAAGAAGACCCAAAUGUCAUGAUUUUGUUCCUCUCAGAUAAUAAAAAUAUCAUGAUUCUGAAGGAGUGUUGGUGGGUGUUCAAGUCAAUUCAGUUACAAGCAUACGCCUUACCCCAGUUCUCGUGGCUUCAUCCUGAAUUAGAGUUGUCCCCUGUCAUCUGGAAUAUAUUUCCCAUUGAGACACAUUACUCUCACUCCUUCUACAGCUGUCCCAGGGUCAGUGCUUGAUUUCUCAGAGAUUUUGUUAUGUGAAUCAGUCCAAAGUGUGUUACAGCAAGACUAAGUCAUCAUGAGUCACAUGAUCCACACAUUUCCUAUUUGUAUCUUUGCUUGGUUGAGUGUGUUGUGGGGGGUUAGAAUAUAUUUUGGUCUGCUUUAACCUUUGUGUUCCAAUUCACUCUUAGGUUGAAAGAAAAAUAUAAACUCAAAUUUAAAGAAUAGCCUUCUUGUAAAAGACAAGCUUGGCUAUGACUAAGCAGUUGUUACUUGAUGAGCGAGAGAAGCCCCUUCUUGGGUAAUUGGGGCUGCAGGAAUGGAGUGACCGUUUCCCCAUCAGCAUCCCCUCUGGGUCCUUCAGGUCUGAGCUAGAAGAGCAAGGGCCAGCGUCCCCCAGCACAUAGUUGUCUUGAUGCCACAGACAAAAUAAUUUAAUUCAUGUAUGCGUCCUCAUAAAUCUGACAAAUGUUUAGAAAAUGGAAGCUUUG
Molecule: long non-coding RNA, 2385 nt
Filed under: Homo sapiens (human)
Lineage: Eukaryota; Metazoa; Chordata; Mammalia; Primates; Hominidae
Description: HSALNT0146084
Source: RNAcentral